GUCUGCUUGAGAUAUGAGGCUUUCCUGGGCAGAGAGGAGUAAGGAAGUACUGCAGCAGGUUAAUGGGAGGUGGGCAGAUCAAGAAUUGAAAGAUCAAGCAGCACAGUUCAAAAGUUGAAAGAGAUUAGAUAAAAGAUGGGUUGUACGGAAGAGCCCAAGGAAGAGAUGAAACAACUGAUGACAAUGAGACCCUAGGGGACAGAAGACUUAUGAAAGGGAAGAAGCUCCUGUUCCCAAAUCACCAUGUGUUGAAGAGAGAUACCAGCCAUCCAGGAGUAGCCACCAUGUACUGUUAUUUUUCCCACCAAAGCCACACACCUCAGUCUGCCCCCGCUGCAUGUCUCUGAGGCCCUCCAAGUCACCAUCCCUCUGCUGG
Long non-coding RNA from Hipposideros armiger (great roundleaf bat), 376 nucleotides. RefSeq lists it as uncharacterized. The record is from RefSeq and is a predicted model, not a curated record. The transcript is spliced from 4 exons. Lineage: Eukaryota; Metazoa; Chordata; Mammalia; Chiroptera; Hipposideridae.